Molecule: ribosomal RNA, 262 nt
Filed under: Thermococcus profundus
Lineage: Archaea; Methanobacteriati; Methanobacteriota; Thermococci; Thermococcales; Thermococcaceae
Description: 23S ribosomal RNA
Rfam family: Archaeal large subunit ribosomal RNA (bases 48-262)
Source: RNAcentral
GUCACGAUGAGGGCCGUGCAUAGGCGAUCUGGUCCAGGAAACGUCACGCCCGGUGGCUACUAACCCGCCUGGUGGAUGGCUCGGCUCGGGGCGCCGACGAAGGGCGUGGCAAGCUGCGAUAAGCCCCGGCGAGGCGCAGGCACCCGUCGAACCGGGGAUUCCCGAAUGGGACCUCCCGCGGCUUUUGCCGCACUCCCAGUCGGGAGGGGGAACGCGGGGAAUUGAAAUAUCUUAGUACCCGCAGGAAAAGAAAGCAAAAUAG